GUGGGUAGUUUGACUGGGGCGGUCUCCUCCUAAAGAGUAACGGAGGAGCACGAAGGUUGGCUAAUCCUGGUCGGACAUCAGGAGGUUAGUGCAAUGGCAUAAGCCAGCUUGACUGCGAGCGUGACGGCGCGAGCAGGUGCGAAAGCAGGUCAUAGUGAUCCGGUGGUUCUGAAUGGAAGGGCCAUCGCUCAACGGAUAAAAGGUACUCCGGGGAUAACAGGCUGAUACCGCCCAAGAGUUCAUAUCGACGGCGGUGUUUGGCACCUCGAUGUCGGCUCAUCACAUCCUGGGGCUGAAGUAGGUCCCAAGGGUAUGGCUGUUCGCCAUUUAAAGUGGUACGCGAGCUGGGUUUAGAACGUCGUGAGACAGUUCGGUCCCUAUCUG
Molecule: ribosomal RNA, 384 nt
Filed under: Salmonella enterica subsp. enterica serovar Tennessee
Lineage: Bacteria; Pseudomonadati; Pseudomonadota; Gammaproteobacteria; Enterobacterales; Enterobacteriaceae
Description: partial 23S ribosomal RNA
Rfam family: Bacterial large subunit ribosomal RNA
Source: RNAcentral